AUUGAACGCUGGCGGCAGGCCUAACACAUGCAAGUCGAACGAGUGGCGGACGGGUGAGUAAUGUCUGGGAACCUGCCCGAUGGCGGGGGAUAACUACUGGAAACGGUAGCUAAUACCGCAUACCAUCGGAUGUGCCCAGAUGGGAUUAGCUAGUUGGUGGGGUAAAGGCUCACCAAGGCCACGAUCCCUAGCUGGUCUGAGAGGAUGACCAGACACACUGGAAAUGAGACACGGUCCAGACUCCUACGGGAGGCAGCAGUGGGGAAUAUUGCACAAUGGGCGAAAGCCUGAUGCAGCCAUGCCGCGUGUAUGAAGAAGGCCUUCGGGUUGUAAAGUACUUUCAGCAGGGAAGCGUUACCCGCAGAAGAAGCACCGGCUAACUCCGUGCCAGCAGCCGCGGUAAUUC
RNAcentral lists this ribosomal RNA (406 nucleotides) under uncultured bacterium. Its description in RNAcentral is "partial 16S ribosomal RNA". It matches the Rfam family "Bacterial small subunit ribosomal RNA", at positions 30 to 526 of the family's 1533-position model. The record is from RNAcentral.